Molecule: long non-coding RNA, 1001 nt
Filed under: Equus asinus (donkey)
Lineage: Eukaryota; Metazoa; Chordata; Mammalia; Perissodactyla; Equidae
Description: lncRNA (ENSEASG00005029016.1)
Source: RNAcentral
AGAAAAGUGAUCAGGACCACUCCCGAUGCAUGGCUUCCCCAUCUCUUCCUGGGUAGGCCCUCUUGGGGAAAUAUCCCCACCUCUGUACCCAUGAUUGAGUCUUUAGGCAUAGAUAUCUUACUAAAGGAAUUUUUUGCUACCCUCCAUUCUUAGGGUUGUGACUUUCAGAGGAGAAAAUUCUCAGAACAGAUUAAAGCAGGUUAAACUCCAAGUUGCCAAUUUUCAUUGCAUAAGAAAUGAUUUCAUCAAGAACAUUGUGAUGAUACUCUUUAAAUAUUUAAUUGAGGUCUUUGCAGAUUUAAUUAAUUAAAUUAAGAUGAGGUUAGACUGGAUUAGGGCGAGCCAGGAAUGCCAAGGAUGGUGAGCAACUAUGAAGAGCAGGAGAAGGAAGGAAGAACGCCCUUACAGAGCUUUCAGAGAGAGCACAGCUCUGUAUAACACCUUGAUUGCAGACUUCUGGCUCCAGAAUGAUGUAUUUGAACUAAAAAAAAUAAAAACAUCUAAACCUACUUUAUGACUGCUAUAUAUUGACAUAAAAAGGAAACCAAACGGACAACAAAAGACACCAGGAAAUUGGAACUUCUUAGAUAAACAUAUGGCUUCUUCCUGCAGAGCAUCCCCUCAGUAAAUCAUGGCACCUGAAUCUCCAUCUUGGACUCUGCUUCUGAAAACUGAACAUGAAACAGUAUAAGUCCAGGGUAAAUAAGGAGGGUGGCAACAGUGUGAAGAAGCCAGCCUGGAGUUGGAACCAGAAGAUGAAUGGUUGAGGGGACUCUCUAAACUGGAACAAAUUGACAUAACAUGUCGACACAGAUGCCACAGCUUGACAAAAACCCUACCAGAAAUUGCUUCAACUGCACCUGCAACUCUUGCCCAAAGCCCAAAUCAGGAGAUACAAUGAACAGCAUUUAACAUGGAUUGCGUGCAUGAACACAUUUAAUAACAAUUAUAGGAAGCUAAAUCUAAGAACCCAGGCAUUCCGAGCUCUUGUUGGAAAUCUA